Molecule: ribosomal RNA, 607 nt
Filed under: uncultured Escherichia sp.
Lineage: Bacteria; Pseudomonadati; Pseudomonadota; Gammaproteobacteria; Enterobacterales; Enterobacteriaceae
Description: bacterial SSU rRNA
Rfam family: Bacterial small subunit ribosomal RNA
Source: RNAcentral
ACGGUAACAGAAAGCAGCUUGCUGCUUUGCUGACGAGUGGCGGACGGGUGAGUAAUGUCUGGGAAACUGCCUGAUGGAGGGGGAUAACUACUGGAAACGGUAGCUAAUACCGCAUAACGUCGCAAGACCAAAGAGGGGGACCUUAUGGCCUCUUGCCAUCGGAUGUGCCCAGAUGGGAUUAGCUAGUACGUGGGGUAACGGCUCACCUAGGCGACGAUCCCUAGCUGGUCUGAGAGGAUGACCAGCCACACUGGAACUGAGACACGGUCCAGACUCCUACGGGAGGCAGCAGUGGGGAAUAUUGCACAAUGGGCGCAAGCCUGAUGCAGCCAUGCCGCGUGUAUGAAGAAGGCCUUCGGGUUGUAAAGUACUUUCAGCGGGGAGGAAGGGAGUAAAGUUAAUACCUUUGCUCAUUGACGUUACCCGCAGAAGAAGCACCGGCUAACUCCGUGCCAGCAGCCGCGGUAAUACGGAGGGUGCAAGCGUUAAUCGGAAUUACUGGGCGUCAAGCGCACGCAGGCGGUUUGUUAAGUCAGAUGUGAAAUCCCCGGGCUCAACCUGGGAACUGCAUCUGAUACUGUCAGGCUUGAGUCUCGUAGAGGGGGGU